CCUACGGGUGGCAGCAGUAGGGAAUAUUGCUCAAUGGGGGAAACCCUGAAGCAGCAACGCCGCGUGGAGGAUGAAGGUUUUCGGAUUGAAAACUCCUUUUGUUAGAGAAGAUAAUGACGGUAUCUACUGAAUAAUCACCGGCUAACACCGAGCGAGCAGCCGCGGUAAUACGGCGGGUGAAAGCGUUAUUCGGAAUCACUGGGCGUAAGGAGCGCGUAGGCGGGAUAGCAAGUCAGAUGUGAAAUCCAAUGGCUUAACCAUAGAACUGCAUUUGAAACUGUUAUUCUAGAGUAUGGGAGAGGUAGGUGGAAUUCUUGGUGUAGGGGUAAAAUGCGUAGAGAUCAAGAGGAAUACUCAUUGCGAAGGCGACCUGCUAGAACAUAACUGACGCUGAUGCGCGAAAGCGUGGGGAGCAAACAGGAUUAGAUACCCCAGUAGUC
Molecule: ribosomal RNA, 440 nt
Filed under: uncultured bacterium
Lineage: Bacteria
Description: partial 16S ribosomal RNA
Rfam family: Bacterial small subunit ribosomal RNA
Source: RNAcentral